This 301-nucleotide ribosomal RNA is filed under the name uncultured bacterium. RNAcentral describes it as "partial 16S ribosomal RNA". It matches the Rfam family "Bacterial small subunit ribosomal RNA", at positions 509 to 807 of the family's 1533-position model. The record is from RNAcentral.
CAGUCGCCGCGGUAAUACGUAGGGUGCAAGCGUUAAUCGGAAUUACUGGGCGUAAAGCGUGCGCAGGCGGUUUGUUAAGACAGAUGUGAAAUCCCCGGGCUCAACCUGGGAACUGCAUUUGUGACUGGCAAGCUAGAGUGUGGCAGAGGGGGGUGGAAUUCCGCGUGUAGCAGUGAAAUGCGCAGAUAUGCGGAGGAACACCGAUGGCGAAGGCAGCCCCCUGGGCCAACACUGACGCUCAUGCACGAAAGCGUGGAGAGCAAACAGGAUUAGAUACCCCUGUAGUCCCUGUCUCUUAUAC